GACGCUUCAGGUGGCUCUGGGCCGAAAGUUCUAACGACAGACCAGAAGCGGGAAGCAGUGGAAGUCAUGUGUGAGGCCGCAUGUCUGUCGCAACGUCGUGCCUGCAGGCUGGCAGGUU
Molecule: non-coding RNA, 118 nt
Organism: Pantoea sp. At-9b
Lineage: Bacteria; Pseudomonadati; Pseudomonadota; Gammaproteobacteria; Enterobacterales; Erwiniaceae
Source: Rfam